This 404-nucleotide ribosomal RNA is filed under the name Verrucomicrobiota bacterium. Its description in RNAcentral is "Verrucomicrobia bacterium partial 16S ribosomal RNA". It matches the Rfam family "Bacterial small subunit ribosomal RNA", at positions 355 to 776 of the family's 1533-position model. Lineage: Bacteria; Pseudomonadati; Verrucomicrobiota. The record is from RNAcentral.
UGGGGAAUAUUGCACAAUGGGGGAAACCCUGAUGCAGCGACGCCGCGUGAGCGAAGAAGGUUUUCGAAUCGUAAAGCUCUGUCCUAUGAGAAGAUAAUGACGGUAUCAUAGGAGGAAGCCCCGGCUAAAUACGUGCCAGCAGCCGCGGUAAUACGGAAGGUCCAGGCGUUAUCCGGAUUUAUUGGGUUUAAAGGGAGCGUAGGCUGUUUGUUAAGCGUGUUGUGAAAUGUAAGAGCUCAACUUUUAGAUUGCAGCGCGAACUGGCAGACUUGAGUGCGCACAACGUAGGCGGAAUUCAUGGUGUAGCGGUGAAAUGCUUAGAUAUCAUGAAGAACUCCGAUUGCGAAGGCAGCUUACGGGAGUGUUACUGACGCUUAAGCUCGAAGGUGCGGGUAUCGAACAGG